RNAcentral lists this ribosomal RNA (253 nucleotides) under uncultured bacterium. RNAcentral describes it as "partial 16S ribosomal RNA". It matches the Rfam family "Bacterial small subunit ribosomal RNA", at positions 524 to 776 of the family's 1533-position model. The record is from RNAcentral.
UACGUAGGGACCGAGCGUUGUCCGGAUUCAUUGGGCGUAAAGAGCUCGUAGGCGGCUGUUCAAGUCGAACGUGAAAACUCGGAGCUCAACUCCGAGCCUGCGUUCGAUACUGGACGGCUAGAAUCCGGUAGGGGAGACUGGAAUUCCUGGUGUAGCGGUGAAAUGCGCAGAUAUCAGGAGGAACACCGGUGGCGAAGGCGGGUCUCUGGGCCGAUAUUGACGCUGAGGAGCGAAAGCGUGGGGAGCAAACAGG